CUGGGACGUCACUGACGCUCAUGCACGAAAGCGUGGGGAGCAAACACGGAUUAAAUACCCUGGUAGUCCACGCCCUAAACGAUGUCAACUAGUUGUUGGGGAUUCAUUUCUUCUUAACGUAGCUAACGCGUGAAGUUGACCGCCUGGGGAGUACGGUCGCAAGAUUAAAACUCCUCCGAAUUGACGGCGACCCGCAC
RNAcentral lists this ribosomal RNA (197 nucleotides) under Cupriavidus sp. RNAcentral's name for it is "partial 16S ribosomal RNA". It matches the Rfam family "Bacterial small subunit ribosomal RNA", at positions 729 to 926 of the family's 1533-position model. Lineage: Bacteria; Pseudomonadati; Pseudomonadota; Betaproteobacteria; Burkholderiales; Burkholderiaceae. The record is from RNAcentral.